GAAAUGCGAUAAGUAAUGUGAAUUGCAGAAUUCAGUGAAUCAUCGAAUCUCUGAACGCACAUUGCGCCCGCCAGUAUUCUGGCGGGCAUGCCUGUUCGAGCGUCAUUACAACCCUCAGGCCCCCGGGCCUGGCGUUGGGGAUCGGCGGAAGCCCCCUGCGGGCACAACGCCGUCCCCCAAAUACAGUGGCGGUCCCGCCGCAGCUUCCAUUGCGUAGUAGCUAACACCUCGCAACUGGAGAGCGGCGCGGCCACGCCGUAAAACACCCAACUUCUGAAUGUUGACCUCGAAUCAGGUAGGAAUACCCGCUGAACUUAAGC
Molecule: unclassified non-coding RNA, 320 nt
Filed under: plant metagenome
Description: partial contains 5.8S ribosomal RNA, internal transcribed spacer 2, and large subunit ribosomal RNA
Rfam family: 5.8S ribosomal RNA (bases 1-105)
Source: RNAcentral